GAACGCUGGCGGCGUGCUUAACACAUGCAAGUCGAACGGGAAUUACUUUAUUGAAACUUCGGUGGAUUUAAUUUAAUUCUAGUGGCGGACGGGUGAGUAACGCGUGGGUAACCUGCCUUGUACAGGGGGAUAACAGUCAGAAAUGACUGCUAAUACCGCAUAAGCGCACAGGACCGCAUGGUCCAGUGUGAAAAACUCCGGUGGUAUAAGAUGGACCCGCGUUGGAUUAGCUAGUUGGUGGGGUAACGGCCUACCAAGGCGACGAUCCAUAGCCGGCCUGAGAGGGUGAACGGCCACAUUGGGACUGAGACACGGCCCAGACUCCUACGGGAGGCAGCAGUGGGGAAUAUUGCACAAUGGGGGAAACCCUGAUGCAGCGACGCCGCGUGAAGGAAGAAGUAUCUCGGUAUGUAAACUUCUAUCAGCAGGGAAGAAAAUGACGGUACCUGACUAAGAAGCCCCGGCUAACUACGUGCCAGCAGCCGCGGUAAUACGUAGGGGGCAAGCGUUAUCCGGAUUUACUGGGUGUAAAGGGAGCGUAGACGGAUGGACAAGUCUGAUGUGAAAGGCUGGGGCUCAACCCCGGGACUGCAUUGGAAACUGCCCGUCUUGAGUGCCGGAGAGGUAAGCGGAAUUCCUAGUGUAGCGGUGAAAUGCGUAGAUAUUAGGAGGAACACCAGUGGCGAAGGCGGCUUACUGGACGGUAACUGACGUUGAGGCUCGAAAGCGUGGGGAGCAAACAGGAUUAG
This 749-nucleotide ribosomal RNA is filed under the name uncultured Lachnospiraceae bacterium. RNAcentral's name for it is "bacterial SSU rRNA". It matches the Rfam family "Bacterial small subunit ribosomal RNA", at positions 31 to 781 of the family's 1533-position model. The record is from RNAcentral. Lineage: Bacteria; Bacillati; Bacillota; Clostridia; Lachnospirales; Lachnospiraceae.